AAAAGUCGUAACAAGGUUUCCGUAGGUGAACCUGCGGAAGGAUCAUUAACAAAUCAAAACACAUCCAUGAUCCAAAACGUCGCUGCCUCUAACCAGGCAGUGGCCUUUGGUAUCUAUACAUCAUUCUUAAAUAUAUACACACUACAACUAUUUUGACCAAGACGUGGGCGCAAGCUCAUGCAACGAUCUAUAAUGGUAAACAACUUUUAACAAUGGAUCUCUUGGCUCUUG
RNAcentral lists this unclassified non-coding RNA (231 nucleotides) under fungal sp. RNAcentral describes it as "partial internal transcribed spacer region". The stretch from base 1 to 48 matches the Rfam family "Eukaryotic small subunit ribosomal RNA", at positions 1784 to 1831 of the family's 1831-position model. The record is from RNAcentral. Lineage: Eukaryota; Fungi.